RNAcentral lists this long non-coding RNA (1019 nucleotides) under Medicago truncatula (barrel medic). Its description in RNAcentral is "lncRNA gene2716". Lineage: Eukaryota; Viridiplantae; Streptophyta; Magnoliopsida; Fabales; Fabaceae. The record is from RNAcentral.
UUCUUAACCUAUAACUUGUUCACCGGCUUAACUGGUUUGUGUAUUCUAUUUUAUUUUUUAUUGUUUUGUUUCCCUUCACACAAGUUCAUAGAAUGUUCUAAAACACCACCACCUUUCACCGCAAGUCUAAGAUCCAUUCUAAAUAAUUAUACUCCGUUUCUAUACUAUCAUCACCACCACCUCCACCACCAUUGACGGUGUCUUUGCCUUGUGCUAUCACCACCACCACCAACAACAAUGGUAAUCUUUUGCAAAAGGGGAAAUUGUGAUAAUCGAUCGCCAGAUGUGGUGGUCGGAGAUAAAUACAGAGGUUGGUUGAACCGUUGUUUGGGGUUGGAAUGCAGGACAAACAAAAUUGAAAAAUUGAGCCGACAAUUGAAAUUGAAAUUUGGGUGAAAAAUUGGAAAUAACAUCUGAAGGAAGAUGUAUCUGGGCUAGAGAUGUUGAUAGGAAUGGCUUUUGGAAGAAUAGUGGAAGUUGGUGAUGUUGGUUGGGUCAUGGGUGCUGGUUUCUCAUGGCGGUGCUUCCUGAAAUAGACAGUGUAUGAUUAAAAGAGUGCCGCUGCAGGGAAGCCUCCUUGUUGCUUUCGUGAAACUUGACGCUACCGCCAACAACUCCGUCAUCGAGUAGUCGAUUGAAUGUUAUCCACAGUUUAAAUUUCUAAUUAUUUGUAAGUGUAAAGGGUUUAAUAAUAAGUAAAAAAAUUAGUUGCAAGAUAUUGGUAGACAAAAAAGCAUGGAUGUUUGUUACUGUAGAUUUUGAUUGUUUGUUGUUUGAAAGAGCGAGAUUGAAGAACAGGUGAAGCCGGUUGCAAGUUUAAUGAUUAACAAGAAGGGGUGAUGUGGCAGCGUAUACAAGCGACUGUCCGUUGGCGUGUGUUUGAGCGUUUGAUAUUAGCAAUUCUCUUUAUUAAAUAUCUCUUAAGUAUAUUAAUGUGUUCUUUUUCUCAAGUUAUAAUAAAUUAAGUAUAUAUUAGCCUUUAUGGAGAUUUAAAAGCCAUAAUAAUAUUAUAAUAUUUA